This is a non-coding RNA of Otolemur garnettii (small-eared galago), 122 nucleotides long. The record is from Rfam. NCBI's taxonomy places the organism in Eukaryota, Metazoa, Chordata, Mammalia, Primates, Galagidae.
GUCUACGGCCAUACCACCCUGAACGCACCCAAUCUCGUCUAAUCUCGGAAGCUAUGCAGGGUUGGGCCUGGUUAGUGCUUGGAUGGGAAAAAGGUCUCAUUUAAGUUGUUGAAUAGUAGAAC